GAGCCUCGUUAUUUGCUCGUUAUUUCGAGCAGCCUCAAAGGGACGGUUUUCCGGCUGAUUCCGGCGCGAUAAGAGUUUGCGAGGGGGGAGCUCGUGCGAGGAAAUAACGUCGACGGGGAAGGCGCGAUAUUAGCUGGAGAAAAGGAGAGAUUCUUCGAGAAAUUCGUUUCUCGGCCCGCGACAUGUAAAUAAGGGGCUGUCGUCGUCUGGGUUCGAGGCUCGCGCAUAAAAAGCAUCCAUAUCCCGCGGAUUACCGGCAGUCAUUGCGAAUUGCGACACACGGUCUCUCCUCAUCGUGAUAUGCGGGGCGCCGCGUCGCGCGUCGUCGUCGUCGCCGUCGCCGUCGCCGUCGCCGUCACCGUAGUCGUUGACAAGGAGCGUUGAACGUCGCGCUACUGUCGUGUUCGUUUCCAGGCACCACCGUACGAAGGAUGCCGGUGAAGGUCGACGUGAUACCGCCGCCGCCCGCGAACUCGAAACAGCCCGGUGUCACCAAGUCUCUCUUAUACAACGGCUCGCGCUUUCAGGGUUCGCAAAAGUCCAAGGGCAACAGCUACGACGUAGAGGUGGUUUUGCAGCACGUAGACGAAGAGAACAGUUACCUGUGCGGAUAUUUGAAAAUCAAAGGCUUGACCGAGGAAUUUCCGACAUUGACGACGUUUUUCGACGGCGAAAUUAUUUCGAAAAAAUACCCAUUCCUGACCCGCAAGUGGGAUGCGGACGAAGAUGUUGACAAGAAACACUGGAGUAAGUUUGAGUCGUUCUGCCAAUAUGCCAAAACAUUCAAUUCCGAUACAUUUGAUUACGAGGCACUGAAGGGAACAGACUUUGUAUUUAUGAGGUGGAAGGAGCACUUUUUAGUUCCCGAUCACACGAUCAAAGAUAUUAAUGGUGCCUCCUUUGCGGGAUUCUACUACAUUUGCUUCCAGAAAUCCGCCGCCACAAUAGAGGGCUUUUAUUAUCAUCGUAGCUCCGAAUGGUAAAACAAUACACAAGUGUGCAUCUAUUAUAAGUUAAAAACUGGAUAACACUGAAACUUAAUCGGUAUCAGUCCUUGAAUUUGAGACACGUUCCGGAGCACAGUAUACAAAUCUAUGAGUUCAGGUGAAGUCCAUACUUUUGCUGAGAUAUCUCAUGACAUUCAUGUCUUUUCUCUUCUAGCACACAGAUCUCAUAAAAAUUUCCCAAUCGAUUUAUCGAUUUAUCGGUACAUGUCGUAAUAAAUUGAUUUAUUAACCAUGACACUCUUCAUAAUUUUGAGGAGAUUUGCAGCAAAAAGAAUUUAAAAUUUGAUAAUAUUCUUAGUCGAUUAUGCUAAGAAUCAUAAAGACGAGGAUUGCGGAGUGCCUAUUUAGUGCUUGAGUGAUACAAUUGAUUACAGAUUAAUUAUUCUACCAUUGUAAAAUGAUUUUUUGUCGAAAUAAAUUAUCUGAGAGACAUAUCAUUUUAAAUUUUGGUAUUUAUUACUUGCAGUGUGACAGAAGGGUUUUAUGAUAUUUGUUUAUGUUUGUUAUUGUGAUCUAAAUACACAUUAAACAUUCAGUUUAAUAACUAACAAAAAGGAUAUAUAGUACAUGUAUUUAUAGUUAUGUGUAAAAUGAGGGGGAUAAGCUCAAAACUUUAUAUUUUUAAGAGGUUGGCUAAAAGCGAUAAAAGAGUAAUUAUACAAUUAAAAAAUUAUUUUUAUUUUAUUUUAUUUGGGAGUUUAUGAGAUCUGUCUGCUAUAUUAUGGAAGAUCAGGUGUACUUGUUGUCUGAAUGAAGCUGUACGUAUGUCGUAAAAAAAAAAAAAGGAAUGAUGGUCACGAAAGCUAAAUCGAGAUUUGAUCUGUAUUUUGUACGUUGAAAACAAACAUUUAUUUAUUUAUUUUACGUGAUUGAUCUUUAUCUAAUUUAUAUAUGCAUAUAUAAAAUAUAUGUAUACCUGAUUUUUUAAGAAUAGAUAUUAGGCACACACAUGUUGGCUGUUUAUAAAACUUGUCAUCAUGUUUUAAUUAAGUGUUAAUAUCAAUUUCUUCUUAGGCAAAUAGUACUCUAUUGUGAUAAGCACAUUAUCGUAAUAUAUAUACGAAUGUGUAUAAAUUUACAGAUUGUAAUGAGUAAUGUGUAGCUUAUCCUAAAUUUAUAUUGGCAUAGUACAGCUUUCAUUUGCGUUUAUGAAAAUAUUUUUAAUCACCAGUGAUAUAUUGAUAUUUUAAACAGCACAUGUUAUGUUCUAUAUUAUAUUUUCGAUAUUAUGUUUAUUAGCAUUGUUAAGUACUAAUAAUUUUUUUUAUAUAUAUUUGUGCUAAAUAAUCUAUUCAAAUACUCAGAAACUAAUGAAACAGUAAAAAGCAUGUUUAUUACUAAUUAUGAUGAAUCAAAUCGACAAAUUCGCAUAGUGAACAGUCACAAAUCAGAUGAUGGAAAACGUAAAGUAUAUGUAAGAUAUAUAAUUAAUAUAAUAUCAGAUAUCUUCUAAAUAUAUAUACACUCGCUCUCUAUAAAUUAUUGUUAAUUAUGUUAAGCCGAACUUUAUCAUAAAAUAAUUUACUGUUAUCACAUUUUUAUUUGUGAGCUAUACAUUGUUAUGUUUCUUUAAGAAGAAUAUUUAUCUUAGUUGAUGAUAACAGUUGUAAAUAUGCUUUGCAAAAUGUAACAUUUCAAUCUAUAUAGAAUUAGUCUUUCAAAUUUUUUUUUUUUUUUUUUUUUUUGCGAGCUUUGCGGAACUGAUUAUUUUCGAGCGCUAAACGAGUUUAACUUUAAAUCUUGUUAAGAGCAUCACAUAAAAUACGAAAUAUUAUAUUGAUUUACUCUAACACUGUAUUAUUCCACAAUUUAUGAAGGGAUUGUUGAAAUGUGUUUUAAAUGACAUACAUAUGUUCAUAAAUAUUCCAUUUAUUUUUAUUGUACAACUAUAUAUAUAUAUAUGUUUUAAACUGAAACAUUUAGAAAUUUAAAUGAAUAUAAAUCGAACAGUCACAGAUUACGAUUUGCUGUUACUACAAUUUGAAUGUGAUUGUCGUUGGAAUAUAUCGAUUGAUGGAAGUUAUAAUACUCAGAUUAAUAAGAAAAAAAUAAUGUUACAA
Formica exsecta is the source of this 3067-nucleotide RNA transcript. It is a transcript of the gene named glucose-induced degradation protein 4 homolog, with no coding region annotated. The record is from RefSeq and is a predicted model, not a curated record. NCBI's taxonomy places the organism in Eukaryota, Metazoa, Arthropoda, Insecta, Hymenoptera, Formicidae. The transcript has 4 exons.